This is a long non-coding RNA of Amphibalanus amphitrite, 558 nucleotides long. RefSeq lists it as uncharacterized. NCBI's taxonomy places the organism in Eukaryota, Metazoa, Arthropoda, Thecostraca, Balanomorpha, Balanidae. The transcript is spliced from 3 exons. The record is from RefSeq and is a predicted model, not a curated record.
CGGAAAGUAGCACUCGCGGAGGAAAUUUUGACGUUUUGAAGGUAAAUUCGGGCCUCCAAAAUAACUAGCAAAAGCUUAGGUAAAAGUGAAGUCAUCGCAACAGUGAAGACAUUGAAAAGAUAACGCCUAUGCAUUGCCGGAUUGACUAUGGCCGAUGAUGACAAUUUUGAGCCUCGGGAGCGCCGCCAGCGGAGGCUCCGUCCGCGCAUCAACAUGGGAGCACUGCAUCCAACGACAUUCAGGGAAAACUUCCGCCUCAGCGUCGAGGUCGCCACUGCACUGGAAGACCUCAUUAGCGGGACGGUGGCGCACGACACGGGCUUAAAUAUGGCACUGACACCUCGCCAGCAGCUGCUCGUGUCGCUGCGGUUCUAUGCUACCGGUGCGUAUCUGCGCCUGGUGGGAGACGGCCACGGCGUCUCCGAGGCCACCGUGUGCCUCGCCAUUCACCGCGUGACGGAUGCGAUAAUCCACCGCUGCCCAGGGGCCAUCACCUGGCCGAGCGACCCGGCGGCUCUCGGACGUCUCAAGGAGGACUUUCGACAGGUCGCCGGGCUG